RNAcentral lists this ribosomal RNA (214 nucleotides) under Nitschkiaceae sp. Its description in RNAcentral is "partial large subunit ribosomal RNA". Lineage: Eukaryota; Fungi; Ascomycota; Sordariomycetes; Coronophorales; Nitschkiaceae. The record is from RNAcentral.
AAGCGCCUGUGGUUAGACUCGUGCCCUGUGAAUCAGCCUGCUCUCCGCUAGCGCAUUUUACAGGGCUCGGGCCAGCGUCGGCUCGCUUCCGGGGUCCAAAGACGUCAGGAAUGUGGCUCCCUUCCGGGGGAGCGUUAUAGCCUGGCGUGUAAUACCCUGGUGUGGGCCGAGGUCUGCGCCUCCGCAAGGACGCUGGCGUAAUAACCACCGGCGG